AGCAGGAGGCGGAAGGCAGGGCCGAGGGGCGGUACUGACACGUGUCAAUCAAACCCCUCCCAGAGGCGCGCCUUGGGUGCUCUGGCGCGCAGUGCCCGUAUGUAAAUGAGGGGGCGUGGCGUGUCACGCGACGCCGUUAGAAGGAGAAGAGAGAGAAUGUCCCCUGCCGCCGGUUCCCUGUGGAGAGGAGGAGACCCCUUCGGCGGAACUGGGCUCCUGGCUCCGCCACCUCCGCACUGUGUAGUACCAAGUUCGAAAGUAUAGGCAACAACUGUGAAGACAAUAAGAUUCAUUAUGACGCCCAUUCCGGUUGACUGUUAUCUUCUUUUAAAGUCCUGUAAAGUCUCCAAUGUUUUGGUUUUAUUCUUUACUGUUUUGUUCAAUUUUAUUAUAACUGAAGAUAUAGGCAAUUCUUUUUAAGAUAGCAAGAGGCAGUAUGGUAAAUUGUUGAUCACCUGUUAUUUUGUUUUUACAUUAUCUAUUAUGUCCAUCCUUUUGAUUUGACUGACUCUGUUCUGUUAUAUUAUGUCACAUUUGGUUUUACUCUCUUCAAAAAAAAGUAAUAAGAACUGUGGGAGUAAUAAAACCCAAAAUGUGUAAUUGUCAUUGUACAAAAGAAAAGAAAAGGAAGUGCUCUAAAGCAUACAACUGCAUAUAUAUUUAAGAGUAUAAGAUAGAUAACCAUAUUACUGAGUUUUGUUGGAUCACUGAACAAAACUGUUUGCAGUCUCACUGUUUGAAAGUCCACUUUAUAUGCUUUAAUUUUGUAACUUGAACAACUAUUUCUAAGAUAAUAUGUAAUCUAUUAACUAGUGAUUUCCUACUGUUUAUUCUUUCUGAAAUUCUGUAUAACUUGUACCCUUUUUCUGUUUUUUUCCUCCUUAAAUAAAAUUUUUUUAAAAAUUUAAAAAAAAAAAAGAAAAAGGAACCAGAUUAUCGUUUUGUGUUAUCUAGUUGCAUACUGGUAUGCAAAGUAUUUAAAACUGAGUUUGUACUGUAUUUCUAAUAUGAAAUCUACUGCACUUUAAUAUAAUACAUAAUUAUAUUGUACUGUACAUGAAAAUACAUUUUUAUUGAGUUUUGGCUAUCUUUGAGAAUUUUUUCUCACACUUCCAAUCAGGAGGCCUAUUAAGAUCCUUCUUAGAAUGAAACCAUUUUAAACAGGGAAAAAAAUAAAGAAAAGAAAGACACUGAUUCAAGGUUACUCAGAGGUCUAUUGGGAGUAGGUCAUGUUUAUUAUCUGAGGAGAAAAGGAAACACUUUAAAGUUCAAAUGGCUGCUGUCAAGUUUGUUAUACAAUGUUAUAGUAAAUGGUAGAGGGAAAAUAUUAAGAAGGCUAUACAUGCAAGAGAUAUUCUUUUGGUAUGAGAGGAUUCAUGAUAAAUGUCUCCUUGUGCCAAAAAGAGAGGAAGAGAGAUAGUAAACAAGACUAAAAUGCUUAUGUAUGUUGAAGAAAGCUUAUGGAAGUACUUUAUUAAAAAGAAACUAUAUAUAUGAUUGCUUGUUAAUUUGGUAGAGCUCAGGUUGUUCCUUCUAAAAACCUUCAUGAAAGAAAUGGUCAAAUCAAGAUGAGAUUACCAGUCAAGUAAUAACCUUUAAAAACCUUGUGAUACAUAUGCUGUGUGUUACUUUACUCAGUACUAAGAUGGAUAUUUAAAUGUGUUAUAAAAAUAAUGUUGAAAGAUCUGUACCACAAGGCUGAGGGAUCUGCAGUAGCGGACUAGAAGCAACACUCAAGACAAAUGUGAGGACUAAAGCUCCACUGAAGAGAACAGCAGCCAUCCCUGGUGACAGGAAGAACCUUCAGUGUCAAGAACAGCCAGGUACAUAUCAGUAAAACCAGCUUCAGCAAGCUGUUGCAAAAAAAUCAACAGCAUGCAGUCUUUCCCUCCUGUUCUCUUUUUAUGCCACUGGCAACAGGCCACAGGAAUAAAAAUGGUGGAGUAAAGACCAACAACAAAACACAGUACCGCCUUUCUGAGAACUGGAAUCAAGACACUUCAAAAACAAUAACUUGGUGAAGAAAAAAAAAAUUUCUGGAAAUCAGGAGUGAACUAACAGGAAAACCAGAAACUACAGACAAGCUGAAGAAACUGAGCACAAUGCAACAACACUGCCUGGACAGCUAAUGCCAUCUCCCAUCACUGACACAAACUUGUUGGUUCUGCUAUGCCAUGACUGAGAUUGAUUAAGGACCACAGAAAAUACUGUGGCACAGCGCUGAGGAACAAGGGACUGGGUCAAACAAUCAGCAACUUGUCAUAUAAAUUGAGGAGGUAGAAUCUGCCAGCAGACUCAAAACCCAGCUACACUGUGCUUGCUUUGGCAGCACAUACACUAAAAUUGGAACAAUACAGAGAAGAUCAGCAUGGUCUCCGCGCAAGGAUGACAUGCAAAUUUGUGAAGCAUUCCAUAUUUUUAAUUGUUUCCUUAUGAUCUGUUUUGUUCCAUUUUGUUAUGUUUAAUCUUACCCUCUUUAAAAAGAAAAAACAGCUACACUGGAAAGAUACUUCGGAGAAGUAGUCAUCACCUAAGUGUCGCAAAUAUUAUCAAUAAAGGAACCCACUGUAGGCAAUUUACAUGCAACACCCCAGGAAUUAAACCAAAAAAAAGAAAGAAAAAAUGAAAAGACACUUAAAAUGUAAUCUCAGAUAUUAUGUUCACCAAAGGGAAAUCCAGGGGGCAAUGAGGUAGGACAAUCCAGAAUACUUACCUGGUCUCGCUGAAGUGGUAACAAGGCAAUUGAAUAAGGCUCUCAAAAAAAAGUGAAAUCUAGGGGCUGGGGGUUUAGCUCAGCAGCAUAAGCACCUGCCUUGCAAGUAUGUGGUUGUGAGUUCAAUCCCUGGUACAGAUAAAAAAGGAAAAAGGAAAAAGACAAAAAAAAAUGAAAUCAGAAAUAAUCUCUCAGAUAAAGACCAUGCUUAGUGACGCUAGAGCAGAUACAGACCAAAAAAAUAGACAAGCUGAAGAAAAUUAUGGAAGUCUUAAAUGCUCAGCAUAGAAAUGAGGAUAUAACUCAAAGAGAGGCACAGCACCUGCCUGUCAAGUGCAUGGUCAUGAGUUCUAUUUCCAUAGGAAAAAAAAGACAUUCAAAAGAAAUGCUCAGCAUAGGAAAGAAAUGGAAUCUAUAAGGCAAAUUCAAGCAGAUAUCCAGGAGAAUAAGAAUUCCAUUGAAAAUAUUCAAAGCAAAAUAGGCCAAUAUGAGGACAAGAUCUCAGAUAUAGAAGACAGGCUUGCAGUUAGCUAUCAGGAACAGAAAGAUUUCUCAAAAACAGCAAAGGACUGUGAGAAAUCAAUCCAGCAGGUGCUAGGUGAAACGGAGAAAAAUAACAAGAUUGAUUGGAGUCCACGAAAAAGGAGAUAACACAACUGAUAUUUAGAAAAUGUUCACAGAUGACAUGGCAGAAAACUUCCCCAGUAGAGAAAAAGAUUUAACAUACAGGCAAGUGCAGCAUAUUGAAUUGCAUUAACCCUGCUCAAGAAAAUUCUACAAUCAAGCAUAUCAUAGUCAACAUUCCAGAAAUUCACCACAAGAAUAAAACCUUAUGUGCUGUUAGGAAAAGAGACAAAUCACCUAUAAAAGAAAGCCCAUCAGAAUCAUAGCUGGCUUCUCAGCACAAACCAUCAAGUCAAGAAGACCUUGGUGUGAAGUAUUCCAAGCUCUAAAGGAAAACAACUUUCAACCCAGACUGAUGUAUCCUCCAAAAGUGUCUUUCAAAACUAAUGGAGUAAUAAGAUACUUCCAUGACAAAGAACAUCUCAGGAUAUUUACAACUGCUAAUGGAGUAAUAAGAUACUUCCAUGACAAAGAACAUCUCAGGAUAUUUACAACUGCCAAACCAGCACUGCCAAAAUGUUCUGAAGGACAUUCUAGAAAGAGAUACUAAGGAGUACAGUUCCAUGAACCUCAACAGAAAGAAUCCACCAAAGAAGGCCAAAAGUUAGAGAAAAAAAGAGGGGGAGCCAAAAAUGGAAAAAUAACAUGACAAAGAUAAGUCAAUACAUAUCAGUUAUAACUAUCAAUGUUAAUGGUCUCCAUUUACCAAUCAAAAGAAACAGACUGGCAGAAUGGAUCAGGAAGCAAGAUCCAACAAUGUGCUGCUUACACAAACCACAUUUAAUUCACAAAGAAAUUUAUAGAUUGAAAGUCAUAGGUUGGAAAACAAUACUCCAUGAGACACAAACCCAGAAAAGGGGGGGGUAGCUGUUCUAUUUGCAGACAAAGUGAAUUUCAAGCCAAGACUGAUUAAGGGAGAUGAAGAAGGUCACUACACUACACCCUCAUAAAGGGAAUAAUCCAAGAGGAAGAUACAACAAUCAUAAAUUUAUAUACACCAAAUACUAGUGUAUCCAACUAUAUAAAGCAAAUUCUAAUGGACAUGAAAAUCAAAUAAGCCCUAAUACAAUUGUAUUGGGACAUUUCAAUACCACACUGGCACAAAAAGAUCAACUAGACACAAAAUUCAUAAUGAAAUAUCAGAACUGUACCAAACUUUUGAACAAAUAGACUUAGUAGAUGUCUGUAGAGUGUUCCACCCCAUGCCAUUAGAAUAACAUUCUUCUCAGCUGCAUACAGAACAUUCUCCAAGAUAGACACAGACUAGUUCAUAGAACUUCCUUAAGUAAAUGCAAAGGAAUUCAAAUUAUCACAUGCAUACUAUCAUACCACAGUGCAAUGAAAUUGGAAAUCCAUGGAAGAAGAAACCACAAGAACUUCAUUGACACAUGGAAAUUAAAUACCAUCCUGCUGAAAAACCACAGAGUCACAGAUGAAAUUAAAGGAGAAAUUGGACAAUUUUUACAGUCAAGUAAUAAUGAUAGGGCCAGGGAUUUAGCUCAGCUGACUGGCAAACAGGAGGUUGUAAGUUCAAUCCCCAACACUAAAAAAAAAAAAAACCCGCUCACAACACUACAAUAUACCAGAAUUUAUGGAACACAAUGAGAGCAAUCUUAAGGAAAAAAAAAUUUAUAGCACUAAAGACUCAGGUCAGAAAAACAGAGCAAAUGCAUUUAAACAACAUAAUGGUAAACUUCAGACUUAUAGAAAAAGAAGCACAGGCUAAGCCAAAAGCUUGUACAAGAAAGGAAAUUAAAAAGAUCAGAGCAGAAAUUAACAGAUUGGAGACUAAAAAACCAUACAAAGAAUCAAUGAAUCAAAGCAUUGGUUCUUUGAAAGAUUAAACUGACAAACCCUUAGCCAACCUCAUACAAAAAAACGAUGCAAAUCUAUGCACUUAGGAAUAAAAAAGGUGAAAUCACAACCGACCGUGCAGAAAUUCAGAAGAUCAUCUAUACCUACUUUGAAAACUUGUAUUUUAAGAAAAUGGAAAGUAUAAAAGAAAUAGACAGAUUCCCAGGUACAUAUGAGUGAUCUAAGCUAAACCCAGAACAUAUAAAACUCCUAAAUAACCUACUAUCAGUAAAUGAAAUUGAACAUAUAAUUAAAAACCUUUCAAUAAAGACAGACCCAGGCUUUGAUGGGUUCACUGUUGUAUUCUACAAAAAACUUACAGAAGACCUAAUCCCACUAUUUCUCAAACUCUUUAAUGAAAUUGAAGGGAAACAAUACUCCCAAACUCAUGCUUGGAAACAAACAUUACCCUGAUAGCAAAACUAGAGAAGGACCCAUUUAAGAAAAAGGGUUACAAAGCAAUUUCCUAAUGAACAUAGAUGCAGAAAUCCUCAAUGAGGUACUGACAAACAAUGCACAAAAUUAUCAAAAAGAUUAUACACCAUGACCCAAUGGGCUUCACCACAGGGAUGCAGCAAUGCAAACCAAUAAAUGAAACGUACCAUAUUAACAGACCCAAGGACAAAACCAUAUGAUCAUCUCAACAGAUGCAGAAAAAGCUUUUGACAAUGUCCAACACCAGUUUAUGAUAAUAACCUUCUAGAAAAUUGAAAAUAGAUGGUCUUUAUCUCAGUCUGAUAAAAGCCAUCUAUGACAAACCAACAGUCAACAUCAUACUAAAAAGACAAAAAAUGAGAACUCUGUUUCUAAAAUCAGGAACCAGAGCCAGGGAUUUAGCUCAGUCGUACAUUGCCUGCUGCUAAACAUGAGGUCCUGAGUGUGAUUCCCGGUACCAAAGAAAAUGAAAUAAAAGAAAAUCAAGAUCAAGACAGGGGUGACCACUGUCUCCACUCUUAUUCAUCAUUGUCCUGGAACUUUAGCCAGAGCAAUUCAACAAGAGAAAUAAAUAAAAGGAAUAAAGGUAGGAAAAGAAGAAGUUAAAUUACCAUUAUUUGCAGGUGACAUGUUACUCUACAUAGAAGAUCCCAAAACCUCCACUAAAACACUGGUAGAUUUAAUAAACAAAUUUACUAGCAUAAUUGGAUACAAAGUCAGCACUAAAAAAUCAGUAGCCUUCCUGCACAAAAAGCAUACUCACUGAGAGACAAAUCAGGGAAACAACACAGGACUUUCACAGUCGGAUCCUAAAAAACAAAAUGCCUAGGCCUCAGUGUAAUGAAGGAUGUAAAAGACCCUGUAGUUUCAAUGUAGGUUGAAAACUACAGUACUCUGAAAAAGGAGACUGAAGAGAAUAUUAGAAAA
This is a long non-coding RNA of Cavia porcellus (domestic guinea pig), 6553 nucleotides long. RefSeq lists it as uncharacterized. The transcript has 2 exons. Lineage: Eukaryota; Metazoa; Chordata; Mammalia; Rodentia; Caviidae. The record is from RefSeq and is a predicted model, not a curated record.